CAGCAGCCGCGGUAAUACGAAGGGGGCUAGCGUUGCUCGGAAUGACUGGGCGUAAAGGGCGCGUAGGCGGAUCACGCAGUCAGAUGUGAAAUUCCUGGGCUUAACCUGGGGGCUGCAUUUGAGACGCGUGGUCUAGAGUGUGAAAGAGGGUCGUGGAAUUCCCAGUGUAGAGGUGAAAUUCGUAGAUAUUGGGAAGAACACCGGUGGCGAAGGCGGCGACCUGGUUCACAACUGACGCUGAGGCGCGAAAGCGUGGGGAGCAAACAGGAUUAGAUACCCGCGUAGUCCCUGUCUCUUAUAC
RNAcentral lists this ribosomal RNA (301 nucleotides) under uncultured bacterium. RNAcentral describes it as "partial 16S ribosomal RNA". It matches the Rfam family "Bacterial small subunit ribosomal RNA", at positions 509 to 807 of the family's 1533-position model. The record is from RNAcentral.